GCGCUCAUAGUUCAACGGAGAGAAUACCUAACUACGAAUUAGGAGAUAAAAGUUCGAUUCUUUUUGGGCGUACCA
Molecule: transfer RNA, 75 nt
Filed under: Chlamydia trachomatis
Lineage: Bacteria; Pseudomonadati; Chlamydiota; Chlamydiia; Chlamydiales; Chlamydiaceae
Also listed under: 1 other name
Description: tRNA-Arg(acg)
Rfam family: tRNA
About the family: Transfer RNA (tRNA) molecules are approximately 80 nucleotides in length.
Source: RNAcentral